Molecule: ribosomal RNA, 784 nt
Filed under: uncultured bacterium
Lineage: Bacteria
Description: bacterial SSU rRNA
Rfam family: Bacterial small subunit ribosomal RNA
Source: RNAcentral
CGAACGAAACUUCUUUAUCACCGAGUGCUUGCACUCACCGGUAAAGGGUUGAGUGGCGAACGGGUGAGUAACACGUGGGCAACCUGCCCAAAAGAGGGGGAUAACACUUGGAAACAGGUGCUAAUACCGCAUAACCAUAGUUACCGCAUGGUAACUAUGUAAAAGGUGGCUAUGCUACCGCUUUUGGAUGGGCCCGCGGCGCAUUAGCUAGUUGGUGGGGUAAAGGCUUACCAAGGCAAUGAUGCGUAGCCGAACUGAGAGGUUGAUCGGCCACAUUGGGACUGAGACACGGCCCAAACUCCUACGGGAGGCAGCAGUAGGGAAUCUUCCACAAUGGGCGAAAGCCUGAUGGAGCAACGCCGCGUGGGUGAAGAAGGUCUUCGGAUCGUAAAACCCUGUUGUUAGAGAAGAAAGUGCGUGAGAGUAGCUGUUCACGUUUCGACGGUAUCUAACCAGAAAGCCACGGCUAACUACGUGCCAGCAGCCGCGGUAAUACGUAGGUGGCAAGCGUUAUCCGGAUUUAUUGGGCGUAAAGGGAACGCAGGCGGUCUUUUAAGUCUGAUGUGAAAGCCUUCGGCUUAACCGGAGUAGUGCAUUGGAAACUGGGAGACUUGAGUGCAGAAGAGGAGAGUGGAACUCCAUGUGUAGCGGUGAAAUGCGUAGAUAUAUGGAAGAACACCAGUGGCGAAAGCGGCUCUCUGGUCUGUAACUGACGCUGAGGUUCGAAAGCGUGGGUAGCAAACAGGAUUAGAUACCCUGGUAGUCCACGCCGUAAACGAUGAAU